UCUUGGUCAUUUAGAGGAAGUAAAAGUCGUAACAAGGUUUCCGUAGGUGAACCUGCGGAAGGAUCAUUACUGAAAUAAACCUGAUGGGUUGUUGCUGGUUCUCUAGGGAGCAUGUGCACACCUUGUCAUCUUUAUAUCUCCACCUGUGCACCUUUUGUAGACCCCUCCAGGUCUAUGUUUGCUUCAUUUACCCCAAUGUAUGUCAAUAGAAUGUUGUGACUAUGAAAUCUAUACAACUUUCAGCAACGGAUCUCUUGGCUCUCGCAUCGAUGAAGAACGCAGCGAAAUGCGAUAAGUAAUGUGAAUUGCAGAAUUCAGUGAAUCAUCGAAUCUUUGAACGCACCUUGCGCUCCUUGGUAUUCCGAGGAGCAUGCCUGUUUGAGUGUCAUUAAUAUAUAUCAACCCUCAUCUUGAGUGGUUUGGAUGUGGGGGGUUUGCUGGCCUCUUAAAAGGUUCAGCUCUCCUGAAAUGCAUUAGCGGAACAAACCUUGUUCAUUCAUUGGUGUGAUAACUAUCUACGCUAUUGAGUGUGAGGCAGUUCAGCUUCUUAACAGUCCUUGGACAACUUAUCAUUUUAUGUGACCUCAAAUCAGGUAGGACUACCCGCUGAACUUAAGCAUAUCAAUAAGCGGAGG
This 635-nucleotide ribosomal RNA is filed under the name uncultured Cortinarius. RNAcentral's name for it is "eukaryotic LSU rRNA". The stretch from base 235 to 388 matches the Rfam family "5.8S ribosomal RNA". Lineage: Eukaryota; Fungi; Basidiomycota; Agaricomycetes; Agaricales; Cortinariaceae. The record is from RNAcentral.